This 3823-nucleotide unclassified non-coding RNA is filed under the name Hevea brasiliensis (rubber tree). The record is from RNAcentral. Lineage: Eukaryota; Viridiplantae; Streptophyta; Magnoliopsida; Malpighiales; Euphorbiaceae.
GAGGGACUUAUGUCUUCUAUUUCCAGUCUCCAUAUGAAGGAUUCAGAAUCAUAUCUCUAAUUAAGUUUCAAUCUUUCAUUUCAACUCCAAAAGAUUGAGAGAGAAGAUGGAGCCAAUUGCAAAAGUAUCAUCGAUAUUCAUCUAUCCUAUCAAGUCAUGCCGUGGCAUCUCUGUUUCUCAUGCUCCGCUUACUCCUACAGGUCAAACCAACCACUACCCGCAUCUUUGAUCUCUCUUGCACACUGUAACUUCUUUUGCCAUGAAUUUCUCUGUUACCCGGUUGGCUUUUGCCACUCAUCUCUUAGAUUUUACAUUUUCAUAUCAUCUAUAUGCAUCCCUUUUAUCAGUUUCUUGGAUUGAAUAAUCAUCGUGCUUCUGGAUCUUUUCGUUAUUAUUAUUUUUCUUAAUUUUUGACUGAAUUUUACUAGGGAAAUGGGGAAAUUCAUGAGAAGAGAGAAAGAGAUGGAGAGGAAAUAUGCUGAGUGUUAUUAAGUAAUUAGUUGUGAUAAAUUAUGAGUAUGGAAUCAAUUUGCUAUUGGUUUAACGUUUCAAUGAUCAACGUCGUUACUUGUUCAAACACUUUCUUUUAGAUAAAUCCAUGUCAUUUCAGUUAGCUACGUGGUCCAAUCAUAAUAUCAUCCAGAUUACAACACACUUAUGUGCAAGUUACGUGUCCUGCCUGACUAAUACAAAUUGAUUGGUCUGUCAUUCUUAAUUUCGUAUGCCUGCAUAACAAUUGAGAGGCACAGAUCACCAAGAACUUUGUCAUUUGGGUUGGAAAUUAGAAUAGGAAUUGGUAAUAUCAAAGUUGAAUUUCUAGUUAAAAGUUAAAACACUAUUGGUGUUGAAAUAUCAGCAUAGAUACCUGAAAUGCCAGAAAUAUGGUAACUAUAUAUUUCUUGAAAUGAUGGUCUAGUUUUUGUGAAUUUCUGCAACAUUAAUUUGGUUUUAGCGAUAGAUGCAGUGUGAUUCACUUUAAAAUUCAAUUACAAACUCGGAUGGAAUUUUUGUCGAUAGAUGUAGAUUGUGUAAGUGAAUAGAAGUGCCUCUAUCUAUUUCAUAUCAUCUCUGCUAGUGAAGCAGAUGUUUUUGCCUUUAUUGCAGCCAAAGAAGUUACACAUAACUGGACAACUUACUGGUGAACUCAUUUGACUAUUUUACAUUGUUUGGGCUCAUUACUAACCUUAAAGAUCAGAUCAUUCUGUAUUUAGCAAUUGGACCUGUAAACUUAAUUUUACUUUUUUGUUGGCAUAUUUAAUUAUGCUUUAAUAUACAGGAUUUCGAUGGGAUCGAAACUGGUUAGUUGUGAAUUACAAAGGGAGGGCUUAUACACAAAGAGUUGAACCAAAGCUUGCUCUGGUUGAGAUAGAGCUGCCACAUGAGGCAUUUUUUGAUGGGUGGGAACCGACAAAAAAGUCCUAUAUGGUAAUAAAGGCUCCUGGGAUGGGUGUGCUCAACAUACCAAUGACGAAGCCACAAGCAGUAGCUGAUGGUGUCUCAGUUUGGGAAUGGUCUGGCUCUGCAUUGGAUGAGGGAGCUGAAGCUGCAAAAUGGUUUUCAGAUUAUCUUGGGAAACCCAGUCGACUAAUGCGUUUUAAUCCAGAAUCAGAAACUAGGCCUGUGGAUCCUAAUUAUGCUCCUGGACACAACACUAUGUUUGCUGACCUCUUUCCAUACAUGCUAAUAUCUCAGGUUAGUCAUGGCAUAAACUAUUAAGUUGUCUUUGCUUUUAUAUGAAUCUAAGGUCUGGAUCUUGUAAACUUAUUUUUUGCAGGGAUCAUUGGAUGCGCUAAAUAAGCUUCUCAAGGAGCCUGUUCCAAUUAACCGUUUUAGACCCAAGUAUAUUUUAGACCAAAAUUGGAUUUAUUUUAGUUACCAUUCAAUUUUUAUUUAAAAAAGUUUGCUUGGGAGUGCACUGCUUCUAGAGGCCUUGAGUAACAUCCAAAUGUUACUAAUGGCUUAAGAUUCAGUGCUAUUGAAUUUCUUUAGAAAUUUUCAGUAGCACCUGUUUUCCCCUAACAUCAUCAACCGGAUUUUAUAAUCUCUUAAACCAUUUUCUUGUGUAUCACAGCAUCCUUGUUGAUGGUUGUGAGCCAUUUUCUGAGGACUUGUGGACAGAAAUUAGGAUAAAUAAGUACACAUUUGAAGGUGUCAAGCUGUGCUCCCGUUGUAAGGUAUAUGGCUUCCCUUUCUGUACUUUCUGCUCUUCUUAUAAAAGCUAUACACCACUAACAAUUUGUAAAAGAUGCCAAUGUGAGGGAAAAGUUGGCAUGGGUUUUUAAUGAUUCUGGCUUGGAUGUUAAUCAUGUUAUCAUUAUUUAACCACAUAAAAUUACUGUCAUUUCGCAACUGUUGUUGCUAGAUUAGUAUUUUUUACCCUUUGGAAAAUCGAAUUGCAAAGGUGAUAAAGAAAAAUAAAGCAAUAAACAUGCAAUUGGAUUGAAGAGAAAGCAUUGGUGCUUUCUGAAGCAUCAAGACUGUAUGGGUAGCUCGUAUUUAAUGGUGAAGCAUCACAAGAAUGUCUGGUCUGAGGAGACUUUCUUGUUCUGAAUUGCAGUCUUAUGAUCAUGGAAGAAUUUUCAAUUUUUUUUCCUCCUUACUUAAGGUCCACUAUGAUUUACAAAAAAUCUAAAAAAAAAAAAAAAUAAUCAGUCUGAUGACUGAUUGCCUUCUGUUAUAGCUCUAAAAUGAGUGGAGUGGAGGAAAUUUAUUCAUAUGAUCCCAAACUGAUUCCUACUAGUUUGGAAUUAAAGCUUAGUAUGACGGAUUGCCCUAAUUAAAUGUCCUAGCUUUGUGUCUGCUAUGCUUGCCUAUGGGUCUCUCCUAUGCUGCUGUGCUAACAAGAAAUAGUAGUUUAUGAAUUUCAAAUUGACAAAUCCUAUAUUUUUAUUUGAGAAGGGUCAAUCAUUUCCUUUAGUUCUUCUUCAUGCGUUGUCUAUAAUUCUGAAAUUUUGAAUUAGACCUCCGCAUUGCACGUGUUUCUUCAUAUAUUAUAUGUUUCAAUGUUUAAAAGGACAUUAUUUGGCAUGCAGAUUCCUACAAUUAAUCAAGCUACUGGCGUAGCAGGUUCGGAGCCAAAUGAAACUCUAAUGAAAAUCCACUCUGAUAAAGUUUUGCGUCCAGAUAAGAAACAACAGGGAAAGGUAAGAUUAAUAUCCAUAACAUUAAAUAUUUUUUUUGUAUAAAAAUCAUUGAUAGAACAAAAUUUACAAAAUGUUACUGUAGAUCUACUUCGGACAGAACAUGGUUUGGAAAGACAAUCUUAACGGAGGGAAAGGAAACACAGUUAAUGUGGGAGAUCCUGUUUUUGUUGUCAGGAAAGUCUCUUCUGCUGCUGAAGCUGCUGCCUGAAAAUUGUUAGAAAAUAGUUUAGACUAUUAGAAUUUCUACUAAUAUAAUAAGUUGCAGAAAAUAAGAUCUGUCUAGUAUUAACAAAGAACGUAUUUUCAUUCCAACAGUUGAUGAGAUAAAUCUGCUGUUAAUUUAUCCAGAUGCUUAUCAAUUCAAUAGUAAAGCACCAGGGAGUGCUAUGAAACUUUUCUGUGGCUGAGCUUGAUUGUUGAAGUAUUGUUUUGUAUAAACUACUUUAGCUAAGUUUGUUCAAGUCCUUUUGAAGUCUAUCUUAGGCCAUCAGUGUUCUAGGUUCCAUCCUGCGUGCCUACAUUAGCUAUAGUACCAAUCGGUGACAAAAAUUUCCACCAAAAGUAUACUACGGAAUAAAAAAAAAGGCGUAACUUUGCAUAAUUUUAAUUUUAAAGGUUUAAGUUAUGGUAUUAUUAUUAUUUUUUUUUAGCAAUCAAGUUGUGUUUUUCGCCGUUGGAAU